RNAcentral lists this ribosomal RNA (253 nucleotides) under uncultured bacterium. Its description in RNAcentral is "partial 16S ribosomal RNA". It matches the Rfam family "Bacterial small subunit ribosomal RNA", at positions 524 to 776 of the family's 1533-position model. The record is from RNAcentral.
GACGAACCGUGCAAACGUUAUUCGGAAUCACUGGGCUUAAAGGGCGCGUAGGCGGGCAGGCAAGUCAGGGGUGAAAGCCCACGGCUCAACCGUGGAAGCGCCUUUGAUACUGCCGGUCUCGAGGGAGGUAGGGGCGUGCGGAACUUCCGGUGGAGCGGUGAAAUGCGUAGAUAUCGGAAGGAACACCGGUGGCGAAAGCGGCGCGCUGGACCUCUUCUGACGCUGAGGCGCGAAAGCGUGGGGAGCAAACAGG